UACGAAGGGGGCUAGCGUUGUUCGGAAUUACUGGGCGUAAAGCGCGUGUAGGCGGGUCUUUAAGUCCGGGGUGAAAUCCUCUCGCUCAACGAGAGAACUGCCUUGGAUACUGAGAAUCUCGAGGGAGGUAGGGGCAUGUGGAACUUCCGGUGGAGCGGUGAAAUGCGUAGAUAUCGGAAGGAACGCCGGUGGCGAAAGCGACGUGCUGGACCUUUUCUGACGCUGAGGCGCGAAAGCCAGGGGAGCAAACGGG
This 253-nucleotide ribosomal RNA is filed under the name uncultured bacterium. Its description in RNAcentral is "partial 16S ribosomal RNA". It matches the Rfam family "Bacterial small subunit ribosomal RNA", at positions 524 to 776 of the family's 1533-position model. The record is from RNAcentral.